RNAcentral lists this ribosomal RNA (253 nucleotides) under uncultured bacterium. Its description in RNAcentral is "partial 16S ribosomal RNA". It matches the Rfam family "Bacterial small subunit ribosomal RNA", at positions 524 to 776 of the family's 1533-position model. The record is from RNAcentral.
UACGUAGGGUGCGAGCGUUAAUCGGAAUUACUGGGCGUAAAGCGUGCGCAGGCGGCUCGUUAAGUCAGGUGUGAAAGCCCCGGGCUUAACUUGGGAAUUGCGCUUGUGACUGGCGUGCUGGAGUGUGGCAGAGGGAGGUGGAAUUCCGCGUGUAGCAGUGAAAUGCGUAGAGAUGCGGAGGAACACCGAUGGCGAAGGCAGCCCCCUGGGCCAAAACUGACGCUCAGGCACGAAAGCGUGGGGAGCAAACAGG